GUUGGAUAAGGUGGCCGGCUAAUAUCCAAGCACAUUUUUGAGGCUAUCGUCUAUUUGGUAAUUGCGAUUCUUUUCAAAAAAAUUGUGCUUGUUUUCAACUUAAUUGUCAAAAAUUUUGAAAAUUUUGAGUUAAGAUCAACGGUUCAUUCAUUAGUAAUUGAGGUUUAAAUCUGUUAUAGGAAUUACUAAGAUUUGAUUUAGGAUUUAGGAUUUGGUUUAGGAUUUGGUUAGGGUUUGAUUUAAGAUUUGGUUAGGAUUUGAUUUAGGAUUUAGGAUUUGUUUAGAGUUUAAGAUUUAGUUAGUUUUUGGCAUAAAAUUUGAGUGAAGUCCAAUAGGAUUUUAACUCGGAUUAAAUUAAGAUUGAAUUGAGAUGUAUUUGAGAUAUAUUUGUCAUCAUUCUAAUAUUUCUUUAAGAUUUCUUAUUAUUUUUUUGUAAUUCCUUUGAGUUUUCUUUGAAUUUGAUUAAAGCUUUCUUAGCAUU
RNAcentral lists this long non-coding RNA (481 nucleotides) under Physcomitrium patens. RNAcentral describes it as "long non-coding RNA (PPAT_LNC008257)". Lineage: Eukaryota; Viridiplantae; Streptophyta; Bryopsida; Funariales; Funariaceae. The record is from RNAcentral.